Rattus norvegicus (Norway rat) is the source of this 69-nucleotide non-coding RNA. The record is from Rfam. Lineage: Eukaryota; Metazoa; Chordata; Mammalia; Rodentia; Muridae.
GGGGAUUUAGCUCAGUGAUAGAGCGCUUGCCUAGCAAGCACAAGGCCCUGGGUUCGGUCCCCAGCUCUG